GAUGAACGCUAGCUACAGGCUUAACACAUGCAAGUCGAGGGGCAGCGCAGUGUAGCAAUACACGGGCGGCGACCGGCGCACGGGUGCGUAACGCGUAUCCAACCUUCCCGUUACUCAGGGAUAGCCUUCCGAAAGGGAGAUUAAUACCUGAUGGUGUUCAAAUUCCGCAUGUUAUUUGAACUAAAGAUUUAUCGGUAACGGAUGGGGAUGCGUGACAUUAGGUAGAUGGCGGGGUAACGGCCCACCAUGCCCACGAUGUCUAGGGGUUCUGAGAGGAAGGUCCCCCACACUGGAACUGAGACACGGUCCAGACUCCUACGGGAGGCAGCAGUGAGGAAUAUUGGUCAAUGGCCGGAAGCUGAACCAGCCAAGUAGCGUGAAGGAUGAAGGUUCUAUGGAUUGGUAAACUUCUUUUAUUAGGGGACAUAGUGACGGUACCUAAUGAAUAAGCCACGGCUAACUACGUGCCAGCAGCC
RNAcentral lists this ribosomal RNA (476 nucleotides) under uncultured bacterium. Its description in RNAcentral is "bacterial SSU rRNA". It matches the Rfam family "Bacterial small subunit ribosomal RNA", at positions 28 to 516 of the family's 1533-position model. The record is from RNAcentral.